Molecule: ribosomal RNA, 157 nt
Filed under: uncultured bacterium
Lineage: Bacteria
Description: partial 16S ribosomal RNA
Rfam family: Bacterial small subunit ribosomal RNA
Source: RNAcentral
UGCAUGGACGCAGCUGAUGCAGCGACGCCGCGUGAGUGAUGAAGGUCUUCGGGUUGUAAAGCUCUUUCGUCAGGGAAGAUAAUGACGGUACCCGUUGAAUAGGCCCCGGCUAACUUCGUGCCAGCAGACGUCGUGAUAAAAUACGCGGUAAUACGCG